GAAGGUUUAGAAACUUACCAAAGCUGAUUUUGGCAGGUGAAAAGAUGAUGUUCGGUGUGUAUAGGGAUGGAAUGAAGGCUAAGUUCAGAAUGGAGGGUUCUAAUCAUGUUGGAUUGAUGCGGAAGAUUAUGGGUUUUUCUCUAGACCGGUGAGGGAUUUUUUCCAUAUUGGUAGAGUCAACGGGACCAUUGAGGAGGAAAGUAUUCUCUGGAGGGAAGGGCAGCUGCACCAGGAAAGAAAGAAAAUAUUUUUGCAU
This 256-nucleotide long non-coding RNA is filed under the name Vitis vinifera (wine grape). RNAcentral describes it as "long non-coding RNA (VVIN_LNC001111)". Lineage: Eukaryota; Viridiplantae; Streptophyta; Magnoliopsida; Vitales; Vitaceae. The record is from RNAcentral.